This 369-nucleotide unclassified non-coding RNA is filed under the name uncultured fungus. RNAcentral describes it as "partial contains 5.8S ribosomal RNA, internal transcribed spacer 2, and large subunit ribosomal RNA". Lineage: Eukaryota; Fungi. The record is from RNAcentral.
AACGCACAUGGCGCUUCCGGGCAACCGGGAGCAUGCUUGUUUCAGUGUCCGUAACACCCCUCAACGGUUGACUCCGUUGGAACAUGGGCUCUAUCCGGGGCGGCCUCGCCCUGGUGGCCUGAAGCUCACUUAUGCAGUGCGCGCGACGUGGGACGCGGCCCUUGACCGCCUGCUCCUCUUUUCAGCCUUCGUGCGGCCUGGUGUGGUGGUUGGUAGCGGGGCGACCCGCAGCAAACACAUCUCCCCAAGCCAAGAGGCGCGGCGCGGGCCUUGGGCCACAUGCCGACCGCGGCGCGGUUGCGCUGAGUGCAAACGCCCCUACCCUCAUAAUUGGACCUGAAAUCAAGUAAGAAGACCCGCUGGACUUAA